UACGUAGGGCGCAAGCGUUGUCCGGAUUUAUUGGGCGUAAAGAGCUCGUAGGCGGUCUGUCGCGUCGGAUGUGAAAACCCGGAACUCAACUCCGGGCCUGCAUUCGAUACGGGCAGACUUGAGUACUGCAGGGGAGACUGGAAUUCCUGGUGUAGCGGUGGAAUGCGCAGAUAUCAGGAGGAACACCGGUGGCGAAGGCGGGUCUCUGGGCAGAACUGACGCUGAGGAGCGAAAGCGUGGGGAGCGAACAGG
RNAcentral lists this ribosomal RNA (252 nucleotides) under uncultured bacterium. RNAcentral's name for it is "partial 16S ribosomal RNA". It matches the Rfam family "Bacterial small subunit ribosomal RNA", at positions 524 to 776 of the family's 1533-position model. The record is from RNAcentral.